AACGCUAGCUACAGGCUUAACACAUGCAAGUCGAGGGGCAGCACGGGAGUAGCAAUACAACUGGUGGCGACCGGCGCACGGGUGAGUAACGCGUAUGCAACCUACCUGUCAGAGGGGAAUAACCCGGCGAAAGUCGGACUAAUACCGCAUAAAACAGGGGCACCGCAUGGUGAUAUUUGUUAAAGAAAUUCGCUGAUAGAUGGGCAUGCGUUCCAUUAGGUAGUUGGUGAGGUAACGGCUCACCAAGCCGACGAUGGAUAGGGGAACUGAGAGGUUGGUCCCCCACACUGGUACUGAGACACGGACCAGACUCCUACGGGAGGCAGCAGUGAGGAAUAUUGGUCAAUGGGCGGGAGCCUGAACCAGCCAAGUCGCGUGAAGGAAGAAGGAUCUAUGGUUCGUAAACUUCUUUUGCAGGGGAAUAAAGUGCGGGACGUGUCCUGUUUUGUAUGUACCCUGAGAAUAAGGAUCGGCUAACUCCGUGCCAGCAGCCGCGGUAAUACGGAGGAUCCGAGCGUUAUCCGGAUUUAUUGGGUUUAAAGGGUGCGUAGGUGGUUUGAUAAGUCAGCAGUGAAAGUUUGCAGCUUAACUGUAAAAAUGCCGUUGAAACUGUCGGACUUGAGUGUAAAUGAGGUAGGCGGAAUGCGUGGUGUAGCGGUGAAAUGCUUAGAUAUCACGAAGAACUCCGAUUG
RNAcentral lists this ribosomal RNA (692 nucleotides) under uncultured bacterium. RNAcentral's name for it is "bacterial SSU rRNA". It matches the Rfam family "Bacterial small subunit ribosomal RNA", at positions 32 to 715 of the family's 1533-position model. The record is from RNAcentral.